ACCCCAAAGAAACUGUCAGAAACGAGAAGCAUCGUUUAAAUAAAUACAGAUGACAACAACAGUGUGGAAAAGAAGCAUAAACAGAAUUUGUUACGCUUUUAUUUUCUAGAAUGCUACAACUGAGAAAUUCCUGCAAGGAAAAGCAGGUCUGGGCAGCCACCACAGGUGCUUCAUUAAUCUGUUGCAACUGACACAGAUUGACGCUUAACGUACUGCCAUGAGUGGAUGAUUACAAUCCCCAUACCCUGAAGGGCAUUUUCAUCAACUACAGUAUUCCUGUGCUGCUGUCAUGUACCAGUGUUUGGAUGGAAAACAUGGGGAUCUGGUGCAGUCUGAGAGCCUUCAGAGCACAUUCUGCCCAUCUCCCAAAUCAAGGAGAAAUUGCAAAAGCAUCUGUGGAGGUGUAUUUAAUUCUCUCCACUACAUUCGGUUACUUCUUUAUGAAUAAUCAAGAAUGGAAAAGAUGUAAAGAUUGGACUCUGAAGUAAACAGAAAGCUUACUCAACUCAUACCACUACACUCAUUAGGACAGGUGUUUGAAAUACGCCUGCAAUGCAUGCUUUCUCUUGAAGAUGGACUGCACUGAGCUGCCUGGAGGAAUGAAACUUGCUUGUCCUGGCUUUUCUCAGUGUACUUUGAAAGACGUGGGAGGGGGACAUCAGGGUGCUCAGAUCUGAGUACCUUCCCUUGUUAGUGCUGUAAGUUCUUUCUUAGCAGAGGAAACUGUGACCAAGUGAAUAUAUGUCAUUAUCUCAAAUGAAACAUGAUUGUAUUUCCUAUUUUUUCUAACAGCACAGAGGUCAUUCUAGACAUUUCCAAUCCUGUAAGUUCAUCAAUUUCAUCAGUUCUGACCUUUCCUUCAUUUUUUGUUACUGCAACUGUAUCUCAGCUUAGGCUAGCGGAUGCUUCACUUGUCAUUUUUGUCCCUGGCCCAUGGAGACAACUGAGAUCCAGGCACUCAAAAACCCAGCACGGACGUGCACUCUGCUGUUCAAGCUGGUUCCAGGCAUACAAGGAUAUAAGCAUGAAAAUGAUACUGUUCUAUACAUACCUGUUACCAAAAAGUAAUCUCAAUCAUCUUUGAACUGGUGAC
Molecule: long non-coding RNA, 1093 nt
Filed under: Gallus gallus (chicken)
Lineage: Eukaryota; Metazoa; Chordata; Aves; Galliformes; Phasianidae
Description: lncRNA (ENSGALG00010003174.1)
Source: RNAcentral